RNAcentral lists this ribosomal RNA (253 nucleotides) under uncultured bacterium. RNAcentral describes it as "partial 16S ribosomal RNA". It matches the Rfam family "Bacterial small subunit ribosomal RNA", at positions 524 to 776 of the family's 1533-position model. The record is from RNAcentral.
UACAGAGGGUGCAAGCGUUAAUCGGAAUUACUGGGCGUAAAGCGCGCGUAGGUGGUUUGUUAAGUUGGAUGUGAAAUCCCCGGGCUCAACCUGGGAACUGCAUUCAAAACUGACAAGCUAGAGUAUGGUAGAGGGUGGUGGAAUUUCCUGUGUAGCGGUGAAAUGCGUAGAUAUAGGAAGGAACACCAGUGGCGAAAGCGGCUUCCUGGUCCAGCACCGACGUUCAGGCACGAAAGCGUGGGGAGCAAACAGG